AAUUUUUACAGCGAAACUGCGAAUGGCUCAUUAAAUCAGUUAUGAUCUACAUGACAAAUACUUUACUACUGGAUAACCGUGGUAAUUCUAGAGCUAAUACAUGCAGAAAAGGCCUGACUUCGGGAGGGCUGCACUUAUUAGAUCAAAACCAUCCUGGGUAAAACCAGUUCUAUGGUGAUUCAUAAUAAUUAAGCUGAUCGCAUGGCCUUGCGCCGGCGACGGUACAUUCGAUUUUCUGCCCUAUCAGGCUGUUGAUUGUAAGGUAGUGGCUUACAAUGGCGACCACGGGUAACGGGGAAUUAGGGUUCGAUUCCGGAGAGGGAGCCUGAGAAACGGCUACCACAUCCAAGGAAGGCAGCAGGCGCGCAAAUUACCCAAUCCCAACUCGGGGAGGUAGUGACAAUAAAUAACAAUGCAGGGCCUUCUGGCCUUGCAAUUGGAAUGAGUACAAUUUAAAUCCCUUAACGAGGAUCAAUUGGAGGGCAAGUCUGGUGCCAGCAGCCGCGGUAAUUCCAGCUCCAAAAGCGUAUAUUAAAGUUGUUGCAGUUAAAACGUCCGUAGUCGAAUUUACGCCUGGUGGCUCGGCCGCUGGUCCUUCAUUGGGCCAGAUUGGCUGUAGUCCCGGCGAUAAAGCUUGGAUCAGGUAGGGUUGGUUUCGGCCGGCUCUGCUCUAUGCCCAAGCGUAUUACCAUGAGCAAAUCAGAAUGCUCAAAGUAGGCCUAAGCGCCUGAAUGUGUUAGCAUGGAAUAAUGAAAUAGGACUCGAGUCUUGUUUUGUUGGUUUACUUGACAUUGAGAAAUGAUGAAUAGGAACGGUUGGGGGCAUUUGUAUUUGGCCGCUAGAGGUGAAAUUCUUGGAUUGGCCGAAGACAAACUACUGCGAAAGCAUUUGACCCAGGACGUUUUCAUUGAUCAGGGACUAAAGUUG
RNAcentral lists this ribosomal RNA (927 nucleotides) under Absidia glauca. RNAcentral's name for it is "SSU rRNA". It matches the Rfam family "Eukaryotic small subunit ribosomal RNA", at positions 71 to 992 of the family's 1831-position model. Lineage: Eukaryota; Fungi; Mucoromycota; Mucoromycetes; Mucorales; Cunninghamellaceae. The record is from RNAcentral.